Molecule: ribosomal RNA, 505 nt
Filed under: uncultured bacterium
Lineage: Bacteria
Description: partial 16S ribosomal RNA
Rfam family: Bacterial small subunit ribosomal RNA
Source: RNAcentral
GACGAACGCUGGCGGCGUGCCUAAUACAUGCAAGUAGAACGCACAGUUUAUACCGUAGCUUGCUACACCAUAAACUGUGAGUUGCGAACGGGUGAGUAACGCGUAGGUAACCUGCCUGGUAGCGGGGGAUAACUAUUGGAAACGAUAGCUAAUACCGCAUAAUAUUGAUUAUUGCAUGAUAAUUGAUUGAAAGAUGCUAUUGCAUCACUACCAGAUGGACCUGCGUUGUAUUAGCUAGUAGGUGAGGUAACGGCUCACCUAGGCGACGAUACAUAGCCGACCUGAGAGGGUGAUCGGCCACACUUGGACUGAGACACGGCCCAGACUCCUACGGGAGGCAGCAGUAGGGAAUCUUCGGCAAUGGACGAAAGUCUGACCGAGCAACGCCGCGGGAGUGAAGAAGGGUUUCGGAUCGGAAAGCUCUGUUGUAAGAGAAGAACGGGUGUGAGAGUGGAAAGUUCACACUGUGACGGUAUCUUACCAGAAAGGGACGGCUAACUACGUG